RNAcentral lists this ribosomal RNA (460 nucleotides) under uncultured bacterium. Its description in RNAcentral is "SSU rRNA". It matches the Rfam family "Bacterial small subunit ribosomal RNA", at positions 26 to 523 of the family's 1533-position model. The record is from RNAcentral.
AGGAUGAACGCUGGCGGCGUGCCUAAUACAUGCAAGUCGAGCGGUAAGGCCACUUCGGUGGUACACGAGCGGCGGACGGCUGAGUAACACGUAGGAACGUACCCCAAACUGAGGGAUAAGCACCAGAAAUGGUGUCUAAUACCGCAUGUGCUCUUCGGAGUAAAGCUACGGCGGUUUGGGAACGGCCUGCGCAAGAUUAGCUUGUUGGUGAGGUAAUAGCUCACCAAGGCGACGAUCUUUAGCUGGUCUGAGAGGAUGACCAGCCAGACUGGAACUGAGAACGGUCCAGACUCCUACGGGAGGCAGCAGUAGGGAAUUUUCCACAAUGGACGAAAGUCUGAUGGAGCAACGCCGCGUGCAGGAUGAAGGCCCUCGGGUCGUAAACUGCUUUUAUAUGUGACGAUUAUGACGGUAGCAUAUGAAUAAGGAUCGGCUAACUCCGUGCCAGCAGCCGCGGUAA